GACGAACGCUGGCGGCGUGCUUAACACAUGCAAGUCGAACGGAAAGGCCCUGCUUUUGUGGGGUGCUCGAGUGGCGAACGGGUGAGUAACACGUGAGUAACCUGCCCUUGACUUUGGGAUAACUUCAGGAAACUGGGGCUAAUACCGGAUCGGAGCUCCUGCUGCAUGGUGGGGGUUGGAAAGUUUCGGCGGUUGGGGAUGGACGCGCGGCUUAUCAGCUUGUUGGUGGGGUAGUGGCUUACCAAGGCUGUGACGGGUAGCCGGCCUGAGAGGGUGACCGGCCACAUUGGGACUGAGAUACGGCCCAGACUCCUACGGGAGGCAGCAGUGGGGAAUAUUGCACAAUGGGCGGAAGCCUGAUGCAGCAACGCCGCGUGCGGGAUGACGGCCUUCGGGUUGUAAACCGCUUUCGCCUGUGACGAAGCGUGAGUGACGGUAAUGGGUAAAGAAGCACCGGCUAACUACGUG
This 468-nucleotide ribosomal RNA is filed under the name uncultured bacterium. RNAcentral's name for it is "partial 16S ribosomal RNA". It matches the Rfam family "Bacterial small subunit ribosomal RNA", at positions 28 to 507 of the family's 1533-position model. The record is from RNAcentral.